UAUUAUUAAAUAUAUUUAUAUAAAUAUAUAUAAUAAAUAUAAAAAUAAUUUUUAGACCUUUACCUUCCAUAGUAGAAUCAAUACUGUGUCUUUGUUCCAAGGCAGAAGAGGGAUAAGGGCUAGGCAAUGGAAGUUAAGUGGUUUGCCACCACUUUGACUGAGGCCAAAUCUGACCCAGGACCUUCUGUAAAGGUACAGCCAAAACUGGAAAUAGUGGCCAGACAGGAUGUCAGCAGAGUGGGCUACUCACUGGGGCCUUCCUCUGAUCACAGCCCACGUUUCAGUGGGGGGCAGCUCCUAAGCCAAGUUCUGAAGACAUAUAAUUGAAAACCAAGACUGGUCCUCAUGUGGGCAUAAGGAGCA
Molecule: long non-coding RNA, 363 nt
Filed under: Monodelphis domestica (gray short-tailed opossum)
Lineage: Eukaryota; Metazoa; Chordata; Mammalia; Didelphimorphia; Didelphidae
Description: lncRNA (ENSMODG00000033125.2)
Source: RNAcentral